AGAGUUUGAUCCUGGCUCAGGAUAAACGCUGGCGGCGUGCCUAACACAUGCAAGUCGAACGCUCAUCGCAAGAUGAGAGUGGCGGACGGGUGAGGAACACGUGGGUAAUCUGCCCUGAGGUGAGGAAUACCAGCGAGAAAUCGCUGACAAUACCGCAUAUGCUCGCGCAAGCGAGCAAAGUCGCAAGACGCCACAGGAUG
Molecule: ribosomal RNA, 200 nt
Filed under: uncultured bacterium
Lineage: Bacteria
Description: partial 16S ribosomal RNA
Rfam family: Bacterial small subunit ribosomal RNA
Source: RNAcentral